UACGAAGGUGGCAAGCGUUGUUCGGAUUUACUGGGCGUACAGGGCGCGUAGGCGGUUGGAUAAGCCCUCCGUGAAAUCUCCAGGCUUAACCUGGAAAGUGCAGAGGGGACUGUUCAGCUAGAGGAUGGGAGAGGAGCGCGGAAUUCCCUGUGUAGCGGUGAAAUGCGUAGAGAUCGGGAGGAAGGCCGGUGGCGAAGGCGGCGCUCUGGAACAUUUCUGACGCUGAGGCUCGAAAGCGUGGGGAGCAAACAGG
RNAcentral lists this ribosomal RNA (253 nucleotides) under uncultured bacterium. RNAcentral describes it as "partial 16S ribosomal RNA". It matches the Rfam family "Bacterial small subunit ribosomal RNA", at positions 524 to 776 of the family's 1533-position model. The record is from RNAcentral.